Molecule: non-coding RNA, 458 nt
Organism: Corylus avellana
Lineage: Eukaryota; Viridiplantae; Streptophyta; Magnoliopsida; Fagales; Betulaceae
Source: RefSeq, a predicted model, not a curated record
UUCUAUCUUUUUCUUCCGCCUCCUCUGUUUUUCCUUCUUUUUCUUCUUCCUCCAGCGCGCCAGUACACUACCCCUCCCAAACAGCGAUUUUUCUCUCUUCCUGCUCCGGCCGUUUGGUUCUCCUUCGGCGUUCCUCACUCUCCGGCGUUCUCUCUCUCUGCUUCUAGCUCCUCCCGUGCGCACAUCGUACGCCCUCCUCUCUCCCUCAAUCGGUCGUUUUUCUCUCUUCUACUCCGGCCGGCGAUGUCUCCCUCCCGGCGGCCUCUGUGACUCCAAUGGCGUCGAACCCAGUGAGUGCAGAGAAGUAGACCUGUCAUGAUGGUGUUUACGAGAUUUUUUGUUGGGGUGUUUGUACGUAAUGUAUUCGCGAAUCACUUAAGUUGUAUUUCUUAUGUUUAUUAAGUUGUAUUAAAACAUAUAUGUUUUAUUAAGUUGUAUCAUUUCUUAUGUUUUAUUAA